UGGGGAAUCUUGGACAAUGGGCGCAAGCCUGAUCCAGCCAUGCCGCGUGAGUGAUGAAGGCCCUAGGGUCGUAAAGCUCUUUCGCCAGAGAUGAUAAUGACAGUAUCUGGUAAAGAAACCCCGGCUAACUCCGUGCCAGCAGCCGCGGUAAUACGGAGGGGGUUAGCGUUGUUCGGAAUUACUGGGCGUAAAGCGCACGUAGGCGGAUCAGAAAGUAUGAGGUGAAAUCCCGGGGCUCAACCCCGGAACUGCCUUGUAAACUCCUGGUCUUGAGUUCGAGAGAGGUGAGUGGAAUUCCGAGUGUAGAGGUGAAAUUCGUAGAUAUUCGGAGGAACACCAGUGGCGAAGGCGGCUCACUGGCUCGAUACUGACGCUGAGGUGCGAAAGUGUGGGGAGCAAACAGGAUUAGAUACCCUGGUAGUCCACACCGUAAACGAUGAAUGCCAGACGUCAGCAAGCAUGCUUGUUGGUGUCACACCUAACGGAUUAAGCAUUCCGCCUGGGGAGUACGGUCGCAAGAUUA
This 523-nucleotide ribosomal RNA is filed under the name uncultured Alphaproteobacteria bacterium. Its description in RNAcentral is "bacterial SSU rRNA". It matches the Rfam family "Bacterial small subunit ribosomal RNA", at positions 355 to 896 of the family's 1533-position model. Lineage: Bacteria; Pseudomonadati; Pseudomonadota; Alphaproteobacteria. The record is from RNAcentral.